Molecule: long non-coding RNA, 3495 nt
Organism: Drosophila yakuba
Lineage: Eukaryota; Metazoa; Arthropoda; Insecta; Diptera; Drosophilidae
Exons: 2
Source: RefSeq, a predicted model, not a curated record
UGUGUGGCAAAAUCAGCUUGUUGGUUUGGUUCCUUUGGUCGUGGCACGUUUGCCACCUGUUCUGUUGUUGUAUCUGUUGCAGUCACUGCUUAUUUCUAUUUUUUGUAUUUUUGUAUUUCUCUGCCGCCGUGUUGGCUUCUUUCUCCCGUUAUUGUUGCUUGUUUAGCCUUGCCUUGCCUUUAUAUCGUUAGCUAAUUUUAUUAUUACAAUAACAGUUGUUGCUGCUCCUGCUGGCAUAAAUGGCAUUGCUGCUUUUGCUGCUGCUGCAUGCUGCAUGCUGCAAGUUGCUGCUGCAAGUUGAUGUCGGCUAUCUCUCGCACAUCUUAUGACCGGCCUUGCUACCACUCGUAUCAAUUCUAUUAAGCCUGGCACUAGUUCUCCGCCACCCCGCCACACCGCUCACUCUCCGCUCCUCUGCAUGUGACUAAUCAUGCAGAGCCAAUCAUGCCACAAGUUUAUUUAUUUUCACGUUGCAACUGCCGGGCUUUGGGGUAAAAAGCAGCAAUAACAAAGGCGACAGCAACAGCAGCGAACAGUAAACAAAAACUGGGUAAUCCACUUAAAAAUUCCUCGAUUUUCGCUUCCUUUCCAGCCGCACAUAUAGAUUUCUCAUUUUCCAUUUUUUUUGUGUGCCUGUUAUCGCCUGACUAUCAAGGCUGCUGCUUGUUCUCGUUAUUGUUCCCUGUUAUGUUGGCUUGUUCGCUUUUGGCUUUCUUCGGAUCGCUGGCUGUUCGAAUUUUUAUAGAGUGAGUUAUCUCCUGGGCUGUCUUGUCCGCUGUCCGUCCGUCGCAAUGAUGUGGACAUCCCCCACACGUGGAAAAAUGCACUUCAAUUGCAUAACUAUUCUAUUUGUUUAUCGGUUUAGAAUUGAAGACAAACCUAGGAAACUAAACUAUAAACUAAUUUUAAGUAAGCCGUUCAGUAUAUAUUUUUUAGAUUCGAUUAGAGCUUUGAAAUAAUAGAUAUAACAAUUUUAAUGUUGUAUAGAGCUACUUAAAGCAGGAUUGGAUACCACCUAAAGAACUUGUGAAAUAAAUAUCCACUGAAUAUUUUCGUGAAGAUUCUUGAUCUAGAGAGAUACUUUAUUUUGAAAGUUAUCCAUUUUUUUCUCAAUUUUUUGGUAGGUGGUAUAUUGGUGAAAGUAGUGUAACUUUGGUGCAUGCUUCAAGUGCACAUCCAUUGGCAAAUGCCAGACUCAGCUGCACUUGUUGUUCUCGUUCAGUCGGCGAGUGUAUCUGCGAGUGUGCAUCUGCACAUCCGAACAUCUGGGCAUCUAAGCAUCUGAGUAUCUGUGUGUGACGUUUACCGCUAUCGCAGCUGUCACUCGACUGGCCGUCCGUUAUGUGUCCUUGAAAGAAAUCUAACUGGCUAACUGUUUCAGCCUCCACCUGCCUACUAGCCCCUAACGACCAUUGGUCAUUGGCCAUUGCGGAAAUUAUAAUCCACUCAGGUGAACUGCGCUGCCUUACAGCUUCUUUCCGCCGCCGCCGAAAUCAGAACAAUGGAAGAUAUGGGCUCGAGUGGCAGGAGUUCAGGAUCCCGUCAUCCAUCAUCCCUCUUUGGUGACGUGACCCGGGAGAGUGUCAUGUAACAGAGAUUUGCGGAUGUUACAUUUAUAUUGCUCACAUCCAGACAGCUCCGAAGUGGCUUUGUGUGAGCUCUGAUUGGAUUGGGGGCGGAUAAACAAAUCUGCGAGGGAUUGCAGCUAUCCAGGUGUCACACUCAAGUGCCAAACUGGAUUCAAGGUAAGCGAAAUAAAAUUUGAUUUGUGUGAAAGGAGUUCGAAGUUGUGACACCUGCGAAAAUAGUCGUCACUUAGAUGAUUUAUGUUGAGAUAUUCCAGCACAAGGGUCCGAUAAGGUUUACAUGGGACUUGGAUUUUCUGAAAUUGGUAUACUUAAGUAUUUAAGUAGUGACCACAAGGAUGGUCACUACUAACUUAGAAAUUGUAUAAUUCGGCAGCGUUUGUAUAAAGACCAUCCUCAAUAGCUGCACCUUGAGUAAACUCCUUCUAUGGGCCUAUCUUAUAACUACCAUCUAGAGUGGAAUCGGCCCACACACUUCCCAAAUAAAUCUUGGUCACACAUCAGCGAAGCCUGUCAACUUGUUGCAUAUAAGAUUAGAAAUCCUAUCUGGGAAGGCAUCCUCCUCAUCGAGAUGGGUAUUUUUCGUUUUAUGGGGGAAAAUCGAAAUCGAAGAGAUGUCGAAGUCAAUGUCGCUGUCGAUGGCACUUGCUCUUUGAAAAUAUUGCAAGUAGAGAAGGCAGAACACAGAACAGACCAAGCGUAAUUGAUAAAGACCGACAAAUCCGUUGAUGGCUAUGUUAAUACAUAGGCGAAUGACCGAUCUUUGGGAUCUGAUCACUGGGAAAGGGGUGGUGAUCUGGGAGCGGGAGGAGACGGAUCAAUGUCGCUUCAAAACAAUCUUAUUGAUGGCAGGAAGACAAAGACCAACGAUUGCCUGCUAAUUCCAGCUUCAGGACCGAUUUAGCGACGCGUGCAGAACCAGUUGUACUUAGUUGCAUGCACUGGGCGAAAAGUAGUUCCCGAAACAUAUUGAUAAGGAUAAACAUUCCAUUAAUAACCAUUAUGAAAUGUGGUUUCGUUUUGUUAUUUGUAUUUACAUCAUUUCUUCUUAGAAAUAUAUGUAUUUUAAAAUAUGAAAAUAUAAAACAAAUGGCUUCUUACGCCUUUUUCUAGGAAUUACGUUCGAACGUUUUAAAUGGAAAUUUUGAACAUGGUUUUGAUUACACUUAAGAUCGUAUAGGUGUUGCUGCUGCUCUUGUUGCUGCGCUCAUCGAAAAGCCUUCGAUUUUCGUAAUGAUUAGCGCCAUUACAGGAACUGCUGCUGCGUCGUUGUGAUUGCGGUUAGCAGCUGAUGGCUGUUAGACGAGCAACUACCACACAAAAGGUAGCUAACAAUGCAACUGCAACUGCAACUGUGGCAUCGACAUCAGCAGCAGCAGCAUUAGCAGCAGCAUCAGCCGCAUCAACAUCAGCAAACUGGCUGCAAUUAGAGGAUGGGCGUGGGGCGCGGCUGGUGCGCAUAAAUUGCGUUAGGAUAAUGAUCGCGCUUUGGCACAGUAAAUCGCAUUUCGAAAUGUACAGUUCGAAUGUUCUCUCGAUUUUCCGAUCCUAUAUUUUCCACACCAACACUGAACUGGUUCGGCAACAAAUUUGACGCUCGCUGGUACAAAUGAGCGGACUCAUAGAAAGGGGGCAAAAGAAAGCAGCAAACAGCAAGCAGAAGACAGAAAGCUGAAGGAAAACCAGUAGAUGGUGUGGAUGUGGAAGGCCAAGAAGCAGCGGCCAGCGUUUUGGCCACGCAUGCUGGGGCGCCAUUUAAAUUGAGAUUUAUUGCCGGCCACUUUGGCUGCAGGUGCACCAUCAGCUUGCCACAGCAACUUGCAGCAAAGAUAAAACUGUAAAAUCGCUGGCCACGCUCGGCUUUUGUCCUCGCUAAAAUAUAACCGUCAACAAAUCGCUGAGCAAUGAA